This 459-nucleotide ribosomal RNA is filed under the name uncultured bacterium. RNAcentral's name for it is "partial 16S ribosomal RNA". It matches the Rfam family "Bacterial small subunit ribosomal RNA", at positions 338 to 795 of the family's 1533-position model. The record is from RNAcentral.
CCUACGGGGAGCAGCAGUGAGGAAUAUUGGUCAAUGGGCGCGAGCCUGAACCAGCCAAGUCGCGUGAGGGAAGACGGCUCUACGGGUUGUAAACCUCUUUUGCCGGGGAGCAAAGCGAGUCACGUGUGACUCAUUGAGAGUACCCGAAGAAAAAGCAUCGGCUAACUCCGUGCCAGCAGCCGCGGUAAUACGGAGGAGGCGAGAGUUAUCCGGAUUUAUUGGGUUUAAAGGGUGCGCAGGCGGAGGUGCAAGUCAGCGGUCAAAUUGCGGGGCUCAACCCCGUACUGCCGUUGAAACUGCAUCCCUUGAGUGCGCGAGAAGUAUGCGGAAUGCGUGGUGUAGCGGUGAAAUGCAUAGAUAUCACGCAGAACUCCGAUUGCGAAGGCAGCAUACCGGCGCGCAACUGACGCUCAUGCACGAAAGCGUGGGUAUCGAACAGGAUUAGAUACCCCAGUAGUC